GAUGAACGCUGGCGGCGUGCCUAAUACAUGCAAGUCGAGCGAACAGAUGAGGAGCUUGCUCCUCUGACGUUAGCGGCGGACGGGUGAGUAACACGUGGAUAACCUACCUAUAAGACUGGGAUAACUUCGGGAAACCGGAGCUAAUACCGGAUAAUAUAUUGAACCGCAUGGUUCAAUAGUGAAAGACGGUUUUGCUGUCACUUAUAGAUGGAUCCGCGCCGCAUUAGCUAGUUGGUAAGGUAACGGCUUACCAAGGCAACGAUGCGUAGCCGACCUGAGAGGGUGAUCGGCCACACUGGAAUUGAGACACGGUCCAGACUCCUACGGGAGGCAGCAGUAGGGAAUCUUCCGCAAUGGGCGAAAGCCUGACGGAGCAACGCCGCGUGAGUGAUGAAGGUCUUCGGAUCGUAAAACUCUGUUAUUAGGGAAGAACAAAUGUGUAAGUAACUAUGCACGUCUUGACGGUACCUAAUCAGAAAGCCACGGCUAACUACGUG
RNAcentral lists this ribosomal RNA (497 nucleotides) under uncultured bacterium. RNAcentral's name for it is "partial 16S ribosomal RNA". It matches the Rfam family "Bacterial small subunit ribosomal RNA", at positions 28 to 507 of the family's 1533-position model. The record is from RNAcentral.